This is a non-coding RNA of Callithrix jacchus (white-tufted-ear marmoset), 1014 nucleotides long. Lineage: Eukaryota; Metazoa; Chordata; Mammalia; Primates; Cebidae. The record is from RefSeq and is a predicted model, not a curated record.
AUUCAUGUGGAGGUAAGAGUGGAAGCAGGUGUGAGAGGGUCCAGCAGAAGAAAACAUGGCUGCCAAAGUGUUUGAGUCCAUUGGCAAGUUUGGCCUGGCCUUAGCUGUUGCAGGAGGCGUGGUGAACUCGGCCUUAUAUAAUGUGGAUGCUGGGCACAGAGCUGUCAUCUUUGACUGAUUCCGUGGAGUACAAGACAUUGUGGUAGGGGAAGGGACUCACUUUCUCAUCCCAUGGGUACAGAAACCAAUUAUCUUUGACUGCCAUUCUCGGCCACGUAAUGUGCCAGUCAUCACUGGUAGCAAAGAUUUACAGAAUGUCAACAUCACUCUGUGCAUCCUCUUCCGGCCCGUUGCUAGCCAGCUGCCUCGCAUCUUCACUAGUAUCGGAGAGGACUAUGAUGAGCGCGUGCUGCCGUCCAUCACCACCGACAUCCUCAAGUCAGUGGUGGCUUGCUUUGAUGCUGGAGAACUAAUCACCUAGAGAGAGCUGGUCUCCAGGCAGGUGAGCGAUGACCUUACGGAGCGAGCAGCCACCUUUGGGCUUAUCCUGGACGAUGUGUCCUUGACACAUCUGACCUUCGGGAAGGAGUUCACAGAAGCAGUGGAAGCCAAACAGGUGGCUCAGCAGGAAGCAGAGAGAGCCAGAUUUGUGGUGGAAAAGGCUGAGCAGCAGAAAUAGGCGGCUAUCAUCUCUGCUGAGGGCGACUCCAAGGCAGCUGAGCUGAUUGCCAACUCACUGGCCACCGCAGGGGACGGCCUGAUUGAGCUGCGCAAGCUGGAAGCUGCGGAGGACAUUGUGUACCAACUGUCACGCUCUCGGAACAUCACCUACCUGCUGGCGGGGCAGUCCGUGCUCCUCCAGCUGCCCCAGUGAGGGCCCACCCUACCUGCACCUCCACAGGCCGACUGGGCCACAGCCCGUGAUUCUUGACACCGCCUUCCUUCUGCCCCCACCCCAGAAAUCACUGUGAAAUUUCAUAAUUGGCUUAAAGUGAAGGAAAUAAAGGUAAAAUC